Saccostrea cuccullata (small rock oyster) is the source of this 491-nucleotide long non-coding RNA. RefSeq lists it as uncharacterized. The record is from RefSeq and is a predicted model, not a curated record. NCBI's taxonomy places the organism in Eukaryota, Metazoa, Mollusca, Bivalvia, Ostreida, Ostreidae. The transcript is spliced from 4 exons.
GCCUGCUGGAGCGUUCUGUGGUUUUGCUAUUGUGGCCUCCUUGCAGUAAGCUUAGCCUUGUAUGCCUCAUCACAGGUUAAGACAAAAAACCCAUCCUUCUUUGAUGUUUUGGUUUAGUUGGAGCCUUCACUCUAGGAAUAUCUCAAAGAAUGCUUGUUGAGUCAUCGGUAUUGAGCACUCAAUGGCAGCCAGAGCUAAAUCCGGAGGACAGUCACUUGAACCUUCAGUUGUGACAGCAAUGGGUUGAGGAGUUGGCCCAACAUCAACAAAUGAACACCCCAUGUCCAAUAAUGCCUGAACCUCCUCAGCAGAAAACUGAGGAAUGUCUUCAACGACUGGUUACACUUUGAACACUCUACCAGAAGGUGUUGGAGCAGGUGGACUUUCUCCAGCCAUCCCGGGUGUGGAAUUUGACAGUUCUGACAUCAGUGGAAAUGCAGAUAAGGUAGAUCCACUGCCAUUAUCCUUGUCACAUAGUAAAUUUCAUAAUC